GACCUCCAGCUAACUUUUUAACCCCUGGAUGGAUUUGGUUGAUUUUUGGUUAUGUUUAUGUUUUAAGUGUGCUGAUUCCAAAUAUGUAAUUAUGAAGAUGGGAUGUGUAGUUUUAAAGUUACAGGGUAUGGCUAAAAACCGUAUUUUUACUGCCUGUGUUUAAUUAUGUUAAUCUCUUCCCAAACGUCAUUUCGUUCAAAGUGGAGAGAAUGUUAAAAAAAAAUAUUUUUGUUCGGAGUGUGAGAAAUGCUUUUCAGCCGCUUCUAAUCUUAAGCAUCAUUUGAAGAGCCAUACAGGAGAGAAACCUUAUUUGUGGUGUGUUUAGUAUUGUUCUGAUCAGUUUAAUACCUUCCGCGUCUCCUAUCAGUGGACGUGUAUAUGGCAGCCAUUUUAGGAACCGUACACCUGGGACCCGAGCAAGGUCACCUCGUUCAACAGGCUUGCAGCUUAUCCUCCAGGAAGAAGAGCCUGAACCCUUACCGGCUGCACGUGUCUUACCUGUACAUGGAAAGCUGCUGUGGUUCCUUGAUGAGCCAGCUGCCCGUGAGUUAACAUGUCCCGUGGAGAAGCACUCUGUCC
Non-coding RNA from Pelobates cultripes (western spadefoot toad), 579 nucleotides. Lineage: Eukaryota; Metazoa; Chordata; Amphibia; Anura; Pelobatidae. The record is from the annotation of a GenBank genome assembly.